AUACUUACCUAGCAGGGGAGAUACCGGUGAUCACGAAGGUGGUUUUCCCAGGGCGAGGCUCAUUCAUUGCACUCCAGGUGUGUUGACCCCUGCGAUUUCCCCAAAUGUGGGAACCUCGACUGCAUAAUUUGUGGUAGUGGGGGACUGUGUUCGCACUCUCCCCUG
This 165-nucleotide small nuclear RNA is filed under the name Echinops telfairi (small Madagascar hedgehog). RNAcentral describes it as "U1 spliceosomal RNA (ENSETEG00000021312.1)". It matches the Rfam family "U1 spliceosomal RNA". From Rfam's summary of the family: U1 is a small nuclear RNA (snRNA) component of the spliceosome (involved in pre-mRNA splicing). Its 5' end forms complementary base pairs with the 5' splice junction, thus defining the 5' donor site of an intron. There are significant differences in sequence and secondary structure between metazoan and yeast U1 snRNAs, the latter being much longer (568 nucleotides as compared to 164 nucleotides in human). Lineage: Eukaryota; Metazoa; Chordata; Mammalia; Afrosoricida; Tenrecidae. The record is from RNAcentral.